Molecule: long non-coding RNA, 1238 nt
Organism: Phymastichus coffea
Lineage: Eukaryota; Metazoa; Arthropoda; Insecta; Hymenoptera; Eulophidae
Exons: 4
Source: RefSeq, a predicted model, not a curated record
CUUUCUUGUCCGAGGUGACCAGCUGUGCACUGCAGGUGAGAAAACCUACGGAACAUACACUCUCGUGAUGCCGCGACGGCGGUGCGUACGAUCAACGUCAUACUACGAAACGAACGAUCAUACUACGAAACCGAACUCACUUUGAUGUUUUUAAGAAUGAACCGUAUAGGCAUACUAUUCUUGGUUUUUCUGAGCCAUAAAUACACAGUAGCGGCCAACGAGAAUCACGAAUCCAAGACACGUACGAUCACGUUGACCACAAUUUUGAGUACAACUGCCUUGUGCUUCGCCAGUGGCCUCUUAAUGCGAUGACACGAGGAGUAGGCAGACAAAAAGAAAUACGACAAUGGACAAAAGAAGAUGGAUGAUACGAUGAACUUUGCGACCCGCUACGCUGAUAAUUUGAAUGGAAAAUACUUGCCAAGAAAACUUAUUCCAGAUUUAAAAACAAUUUUCACUACUCUGGAGUCUGUUGAAUAUGAAUUGGAGAAUAUUUAUUCAAGACUACACUAUCUAGGGAUUAAAUUGAAUUUUCCCAAAUGAAAGCGAUUUUUACAAUACAAAAAAGUGACUAAAGAAGAAAGAAAAUAUGUCUAAUUUCUUAACUUUUGGUAUCAUUUAUAUUUAAAAGAUUGAUACAUAUGGUCUAAAAUUUAGUUCUAGAUUUUUAAAUUGAUAAUUCAAAAAAUAAACUUAAAAUAAAACUGAUUUAAACAUGGAAUGUUAUUAGCAUUAUAGUUAUUAACGAGAUUGCAAAUGUACCUGAUAGAAAUAAAAGUCAUUGAGACUUUUCAAUCAGAUAAAAUUUGAGACACUACACAAUUAUAGCUCCAAGAAUAUAGCAUAACUAUUGUGUGUGUUUAAUUCAAAUCAAUAAAUUUAACUAGUAAGUACUAUGCUUGAAAAAGCAAUUAUUAUUCAAUCACUUCGGUGCAGAUUGUCUCAUAAUUUUUAAAUAUCUACGCAGUUCUAUGCGCAGUACCUGAAUCAUUCAAAGAGAAAAGCUACAGUUGCUUUUUAUAUGUAGAACAAAUAAAAUUGGAACGUCUCCAGCAUACUGGUUUAAGUUUUUAAAUAUUUCAUUGUAUCACGGCUUUUACGGAAAUGUUCAAGACUUGCAGAAAUGAUUUUUAAUUAUAUUUUCUAUAAUGUACUGUUUAUUCAUGAAUGGUUUUCAAUGUAUAUAACAAGUAUGAUAAAAAUACGAUUAUUCGGUUAACUAAAAGCUGAAGUAAUAA